UGGGGAAUAUUGCACAAUGGGCGCAAGCCUGAUGCAGCCAUGCCGCGUGUAUGAAGAAGGCCUUCGGGUUGUAAAGUACUUUUAGUCGGGAGGAAGGUGGUAAGGUUAAUAACCUUAUCAAUUGACGUUACCGACAGAAGAAGCACCGGCUAACUCCGUGCCAGCAGCCGCGGUAAUACGGAGGGUGCAAGCGUUAAUCGGAAUUACUGGGCGUAAAGCGCACGCAGGCGGUUGAUUGAGUCAGAUGUGAAAUCCCCGGGCUUAACCCGGGAAUUGCAUCUGAUACUGGUCAGCUAGAGUCUUGUAGAGGGGGGUAGAAUUCCAUGUGUAGCGGUGAAAUGCGUAGAGAUGUGGAGGAAUACCGGUGGCGAAGGCGGCCCCCUGGACAAAGACUGACGCUCAGGUGCGAAGGCGUGGGGAGCAAACAGG
This 429-nucleotide ribosomal RNA is filed under the name Chloroflexota bacterium. RNAcentral's name for it is "Chloroflexi bacterium partial 16S ribosomal RNA". It matches the Rfam family "Bacterial small subunit ribosomal RNA", at positions 355 to 776 of the family's 1533-position model. Lineage: Bacteria; Bacillati; Chloroflexota. The record is from RNAcentral.